GACUCUUGGCAAUGGAUAUCUCGGCUCUCACAUCGAUGAAGAACGUAGAGAAAUGCGAUACUUGGUGUGAAUUGCAGAAUCCCGCGAACCAUCGAGUCUUUGAACGCAAGUUGCACCCGAGGCCACUCUGCCGAGGGCACGCCUGCCUGGGCGUCA
RNAcentral lists this ribosomal RNA (156 nucleotides) under Triticum aestivum (bread wheat). RNAcentral describes it as "rRNA 5_8S_rRNA". It matches the Rfam family "5.8S ribosomal RNA". From Rfam's summary of the family: 5.8S ribosomal RNA (5.8S rRNA) is a component of the large subunit of the eukaryotic ribosome. It is transcribed by RNA polymerase I as part of the 45S precursor that also contains 18S and 28S rRNA. The record is from RNAcentral. Lineage: Eukaryota; Viridiplantae; Streptophyta; Magnoliopsida; Poales; Poaceae.